GGGAUUGCCCUAGUAACGGCGAGUGAAGCGGCAACAGCUCAAAUUUGAAAUCUGGCUCUUUCAGAGUCCGAGUUGUAAUUUGCAGAGGGCGCUUUGGCUUUGGCAGCGGUCCAAGUUCCUUGGAACAGGACGUCACAGAGGGUGAGAAUCCCGUACGUGGUCGCUAGCUAUUGCCGUGUAAAGCCCCUUCGACGAGUCGAGUUGUUUGGGAAUGCAGCUCUAAAUGGGAGGUAAAUUUCUUCUAAAGCUAAAUAUUGGCCAGAGACCGAUAGCGCACAAGUAGAGUGAUCGAAAGAUGAAAAGCACUUUGGAAAGAGAGUCAAACAGCACGUGAAAUUGUUGAAAGGGAAGCGCUUGCAGCCAGACUUGCUUGCAGUUGCUCAUCCGGGCUUUUGCCCGGUGCACUCUUCUGUAGGCAGGCCAGCAUCAGUUUGGGCGGUGGGAUAAAGGUCUCUGUCACGUACCUCUCUUCGGGGAGGCCUUAUAGGGGAGACGACAUACCACCAGCCUGGACUGAGGUCCGCGCAUCUGCUAGGAUGCUGGCGUAAUGGCUGUAAGCGGCCCGUCUUGAAACACGGACCAAGGAGUCUAACAUCUAUGCGAGUGUUUGGGUGUCAAGCCCGAGCGCGUAAUGAAAGUGAACGGAGGUGGGAACCCGCAAGGGCGCACCAUCGACCGAUCCUGAAGUUUACGGAAGGAUUUGAGUAAGAGCAUGGCUGUUGGGACCCGAAAGAUGGUGAACUAUGCUUGAAUAGGGUGAAGCCAGAGGAAACUCUGGUGGAGGCUCGCAGCGGUUCUGACGUGCAAAUCGAUCGUCAAAUUUGGGCAUAGGGGCGAAAGACUAAUC
RNAcentral lists this ribosomal RNA (847 nucleotides) under Curvularia papendorfii. Its description in RNAcentral is "eukaryotic LSU rRNA". It matches the Rfam family "Eukaryotic large subunit ribosomal RNA", at positions 71 to 936 of the family's 3401-position model. The record is from RNAcentral. Lineage: Eukaryota; Fungi; Ascomycota; Dothideomycetes; Pleosporales; Pleosporaceae.